Molecule: long non-coding RNA, 1804 nt
Organism: Oreochromis niloticus (Nile tilapia)
Lineage: Eukaryota; Metazoa; Chordata; Actinopteri; Cichliformes; Cichlidae
Exons: 2
Source: RefSeq, a predicted model, not a curated record
UGACGGGAAAGAGCGGGGCGGUUUCCCCUCAGAGACACGCACGCGCGCACACACCGAAACCAGCGGUUCCUCAAAGAGUUGGUUUUGUUGAGCUUCUGUCAAAGUGACCGAGUUUUGUUACCUGCUGACUGGGGUCGCGCCUCAUUAUAAAUGCGGUAUUUUUAAACGGCUUUCCUGUGAAAGCGACAAUUACGAGAAGGUCAAAAUAAGACCAAGUGAGUGCCAAGAAUCCGGCCGAGAGGACCGCAGACUGCCCCUGAACCUAAUGAAGCUGCUCAGUCUGAGCUUCUUACCACAGAAUCAAAUCUGACCUUUCUUUGAGUACCAUGUCUCAUUCUCUGGCGAACUGGUGAAAAUGGAUCAUACUCAGGACUGUAAGGAGGACAAAGCAGAUUUUACUCCACUGCUAAUGCAGAAAAUGAUUUAAGUCGUGAUCAGAUGAAUUUGUUCACAAACCUCAAUUUCACCAGUAAUACUUUGUGGCCCUUGUCAGAGGAUGAGUACUCAGCACUGUAGUUACAUGAUGGUCAAGCUCUAACACCAGGCUACAGAAGCUUGCUUCUGCCACUGAUUUUUAUUUUUUGCCAUUCAUAACUUAAAAUUUCGAGUUCAUUUCCCAAACUUUGAUUGAAACUCCCCCCACCUUUCUCAUGUUUCUGAGGUGCUAAAGCAAACAGAAGCAACUGCUCAUAAACGUCAUUUGGUUAUAAAAAUACUGAUAUUCAUAUUCUUACUUGAACUCAGUGUUUAAUUUGUAAAUCAGAAAGGAACAGAGAGAAGGUCAGAGAGAAAGCUGCAUUCGUUAAUCACAGUAAUAUAGUGUUGGCUUUUUGUUGGUUCAACUUUGUGUUUGUGAAGCAAGGUUAACUGUUGCUUCUCUUUUGUGAACCGACUGCUUCCCGUCAUAUUUCAUCCCUGUUUCCAGAACAAAAGGACUGGCUUUGUGUCAGAAGUUAGUGAGGGUGACCUCUACCUAUACGACUUACAAGAGCUACAAUUGGAAAAACCCAGAACCUCUUCAUCAAACCACGUCUUUGUUCAUAUACAAGUCAUGUGUAAAAAAGUGGAGGCAACGUCAUCAAAUGUCUUCUUUACAGUGUAAAGAGUAAAUUUAGGUCCAUCGCAGAAUCAUUAAACCACAACUUCUUCAUCAUCUGGAUUCAAACUUGUGAUUUCUUUCAGUAUAUUACCCUCUCUCUCGUUCUGGUGUUUUUAUACGUAUAAUAGAAUGACCUCCAUCACUUUGGCUACACUUUAGUGAAAAGGAGAAGGAAAAAAAAAAGAAACCACAUUUUUUCAGAAACAUUUUCCUCUUUUUAUUCCAAGAAAAAAAGUUUUUUCAUCCCAAACAAGAAAAUAAAAUAAAACAAACUUAUAUUAAUAAUAACAACAGUAAUCAAUCAUUAAGAGGAUAAGUAUGACAAUUCUCUAUUUUUCUCUGUUUUUUUUUGUUUGUUUUUUUUUUAAAUUUGACGCUUUUUCUCUAUGAUGAUAUUGGUCGUGGUCAAUUAAACAUGCAGCUAAAUAAGUCCAAUGAUGAUGAUGAUGAAGGUAGAGGAGGAAGAGGAGAAAGACAAAAAGAGGAAUGGGGUGUGGGGGGAUGUUACAGGCCGUGAAGCUGGAGGCGCUUUUUCUGUUUUAGAAAGUAAAUGUGUCGACAUAAAAUGGCCGCCAGUAGCGGUGGGGGGUUGGUUUGGCUUUUUACAGCCAAGCUAAGCUUAGCUAGCAUUAAAACAUAAUAAGACUUUUUUGUGUGAUAGCUUGCUCGCUAAAGACUUUGGGUAACUUAGCCUAAACACAAUGA